ACUGUGGGAGUGCGCUGGGAACUGCUUGGCUGGAGUUCAGGAGGGGAAUCUGGAAUUCCUGGUGUAGGGGUGAAAUCUGUAGAUAUCAGGAAGAACACCUGUGGCGAAGGCGAGAUUCUGGCCAUGAACUGACGCUGAGGCGCGAAAGCGUGGGGAGCGAACAGGAUUAGAUACCCUGGUAGUCCACGCUGUAAACGAUGUGCACUAGGUGUUGGCUGUUGUAACGGUCAGUGCCGAAGCAAACGCGAUAAGUGCACCGCCUGGGGAGUAUGCUCGCAAGGGUGAAACUCAAAGGAAUUGACGGGGGCCCGCACAAGCGGUGGAGCAUGUGGUUUAAUUCGAUGAUACGCGAGGAACCUUACCAGGGCUUGACAUAUGCAUGACGGUCGUAGAGAUACGGCUUCCCUUCGGGGCGUGCAUACAGGUGCUGCAUGGUUGUCGUCAGCUCGUGCUGUGAGGUGUUGGGUUAAGUCCCGCAACGAGCGCAACCCCUGCUGUCUGUUACCAGCACGUAAUGGUGGGGACUCAGACGGUACUGCCGGUGACAAACCGGAGGAAGGUGGGGAUGACGUCAAAUCAUCAUGGCCCUUAUGUCCUGGGCUACACACGUGCUACAAUGGUCGGUACAGAGCGAGGCAAAACCGCGAGGUGGAGCAAAUCGCAGAAAGCCGGUCUCAGUACGGAUUGGAGUCUGAAACCCGACUUCAUGAAGUUGGAAUCGCUAGUAAUCGCGCAUCAGCAUGGCGCGGUGAUACGUUCCCGGGCCUUGUACACACCGCCCGUCACACCACCCGAGUUGGGGGUACCCGAAGUCGCUCGUCUAACCGGUUACGGAGGACGGCGCCGAAGUAUGCCUGUAAGGGGGGUGAAGU
This 872-nucleotide ribosomal RNA is filed under the name uncultured organism. Its description in RNAcentral is "bacterial SSU rRNA". It matches the Rfam family "Bacterial small subunit ribosomal RNA", at positions 612 to 1486 of the family's 1533-position model. The record is from RNAcentral.